This is a long non-coding RNA of Dipodomys spectabilis (banner-tailed kangaroo rat), 152 nucleotides long. RefSeq lists it as uncharacterized. The transcript is spliced from 3 exons. Lineage: Eukaryota; Metazoa; Chordata; Mammalia; Rodentia; Heteromyidae. The record is from RefSeq and is a predicted model, not a curated record.
UUCCUCAUGUAGCAUUUGGUUUUAAGUCAGAAUGAUGUCUUUGUCCCAAAAAGAAUCACAAUGAAUUCCAUAUUAUCCCUUCUAUCUACCCCUGUGGAAAAGAUCUCUCAUCUGAAAGUCUCUAACAACAACCAGCACAAGAUGCUGAUAUU